This 253-nucleotide ribosomal RNA is filed under the name uncultured bacterium. Its description in RNAcentral is "partial 16S ribosomal RNA". It matches the Rfam family "Bacterial small subunit ribosomal RNA", at positions 524 to 776 of the family's 1533-position model. The record is from RNAcentral.
UACGAGAGGCCCAAACGUUAUUCGGAAUUACUGGGCUUAAAGAGUUCGUAGGCGGCGCAGCAAGUAGGGUGCGAAAGCCCUCGGCUCAACCGAGGAAUUGCGCUCUAAACUACUGUGCUCGAGGAACCUAGAGGUGAGCAGAACUGAUGGUGGAGCGGUGAAAUGCGUUGAUAUCAUCAGGAAUACCGGAGGCGAAGGCGGCUCACUGGGGGUUUUCUGACGCUGAGGAACGAAAGCCAGGGGAGCGAACGGG